UGGGGAAUUUUGGACAAUGGGCGAAAGCCUGAUCCAGCAAUGCCGCGUGUGUGAAGAAGGCCUUCGGGUUGUAAAGCACUUUUGUCCGGAAAGAAAUCCUUGGCUCUAAUACAGUCGGGGGAUGACGGUACCGGAAGAAUAAGCACCGGCUAACUACGUGCCAGCAGCCGCGGUAAUACGUAGGGUGCAAGCGUUAAUCGGAAUUACUGGGCGUAAAGCGUGCGCAGGCGGUUUGCUAAGACCGAUGUGAAAUCCCCGGGCUCAACCUGGGAACUGCAUUGGUGACUGGCAGGCUAGAGUAUGGCAGAGGGGGGUAGAAUUCCACGUGUAGCAGUGAAAUGCGUAGAGAUGUGGAGGAAUACCGAUGGCGAAGGCAGCCCCCUGGGCCAAUACUGACGCUCAUGCACGAAAGCGUGGGGAGCAAACAGGAUUAGAUACCCUGGUAGUCCACGCCCUAAACGAUGUCAACUAGUUGUUGGGGAUUCAUUUCCUUAGUAACGUAGCUAACGCGUGAAGUUGACCGCCUGGGGGGUACGGUCGCAAGAUUAAAACUCAAAUGAAUUGACGGGGUCAUA
This 575-nucleotide ribosomal RNA is filed under the name uncultured bacterium. RNAcentral's name for it is "partial 16S ribosomal RNA". It matches the Rfam family "Bacterial small subunit ribosomal RNA", at positions 355 to 923 of the family's 1533-position model. The record is from RNAcentral.